AACCUGCCCAAGAGACUGGGAUAACACCUGGAAACAGAUGCUAAUACCGGAUAACAACACUAGACGCAUGUCUAGAGUUUGAAAGAUGGUUCUGCUAUCACUCUUGGAUGGACCUGCGGUGCAUUAGCUAGUUGGUAAGGUAACGGCUUACCAAGGCAAUGAUGCAUAGCCGAGUUGAGAGACUGAUCGGCCACAUUGGGACUGAGACACGGCCCAAACUCCUACGGGAGGCAGCAGUAGGGAAUCUUCCACAAUGGACGAAAGUCUGAUGGAGCAACGCCGCGUGAGUGAAGAAGGGUUUCGGCUCGUAAAGCUCUGUUGGUAGUGAAGAAAGAUAGAGGUAGUAACUGGCCUUUAUUUGACGGUAAUUACUUAGAAAGUCACGGCUAACUACGUGCCAGCAGCCGCGGUAAUACGUAGGUGGCAAGCGUUGUCCGGAUUUAUUGGGCGUAAAGCGAGUGCAGGCGGUUCAAUAAGUCUGAUGUGAAAGCCUUCGGCUCAACCGGAGAAUUGCAUCAGAAACUGUUGAACUUGAGUGCAGAAGAGGAGAGUGGAACUCCAUGUGUAGCGGUGGAAUGCGUAGAUAUAUGGAAGAACACCAGUGGCGAAGGCGGCUCUCUGGUCUGCAACUGACGCUGAGGCUCGAAAGCAUGGGUAGCGAACAGGAUUAGAUACCCUGGUAGUCCAUGCCGUAAA
RNAcentral lists this ribosomal RNA (696 nucleotides) under uncultured bacterium. RNAcentral's name for it is "bacterial SSU rRNA". It matches the Rfam family "Bacterial small subunit ribosomal RNA", at positions 123 to 806 of the family's 1533-position model. The record is from RNAcentral.